AUACGUAGGGAGCGAGCGUUGUCCGGAAUUACUGGGCGUAAAGGGCGCGUAGGCGGCGCUUCAAGUCGUCUGUCAAAUGGGAGGGCUUCACCCUUUUUCGCAGACGAAACUGGAGAGCUUGAGAAGCAGAGAGGCAAACAGAAUUCCUGGUGUAGCGGUGAAAUGCGUAGAUAUCAGGAAGAAUACCAGUGGCGAAGGCGGUUUGCUGGCUGCAUACUGACGCUGAAGCGCGAAAGCCAGGGGAGCAAACGGGAUUAGAUACCCCGGUAGUCCUGGCAGUAAACGAUGUAUGCUGGGUGUGAGACUAGCGAUAGUUUCGUGCCGAAGUUAACGCGAUAAGCAUACCGCCUGGGGAGUACGGUCGCAAGAUUGAAACUCAAAUGAAUUGACGGGG
This 394-nucleotide ribosomal RNA is filed under the name uncultured bacterium. RNAcentral describes it as "partial 16S ribosomal RNA". It matches the Rfam family "Bacterial small subunit ribosomal RNA", at positions 523 to 918 of the family's 1533-position model. The record is from RNAcentral.